AGUGAACGCUGGCGGUAGGCCUAACACAUGCAAGUCGAACGGCAGCACAGUAAGAGCUUGCUCUUACGGGUGGCGAGUGGCGGACGGGUGAGGAAUACAUCGGAAUCUACUUUUUCGUGGGGGAUAACGUAGGGAAACUUACGCUAAUACCGCAUACGACCUACGGGUGAAAGCAGGGGAUCUUCGGACCUUGCGCGAUUGAAUGAGCCGAUGUCGGAUUAGCUAGUUGGCGGGGUAAAGGCCCACCAAGGCGACGAUCCGUAGCUGGUCUGAGAGGAUGAUCAGCCACACUGGAAAUGAGACAGGGUCCAGACUCCUACGGGAGGCAGCAGUGGGGAAUCUUGGACAAUGGGCGCAAGCUUGAUCCAGCCAUACCGCGUGGGUGAAGAAGGCCUUCGGGUUGUAAAGCCCUCUUGUUGGGAAAGAAAAGAAGCAGGUUAAAACCCCGCUGUUCUGACGGUACCCAAAGAAAAAGCACCGGCUAACUUCGUG
This 492-nucleotide ribosomal RNA is filed under the name uncultured bacterium. RNAcentral describes it as "partial 16S ribosomal RNA". It matches the Rfam family "Bacterial small subunit ribosomal RNA", at positions 29 to 507 of the family's 1533-position model. The record is from RNAcentral.